CACAUAAACGAUGAGCGAUAUAAUGUUUUAAAUGAUAGUGAUAAU
Molecule: non-coding RNA, 45 nt
Filed under: Trypanosoma brucei brucei
Lineage: Eukaryota; Euglenozoa; Kinetoplastea; Trypanosomatida; Trypanosomatidae
Source: RNAcentral